GUCCACACUGUAAACGAUGGUUACUAGGUGUUCCCGGGCAACUGGGAGUGCCCAAGCGAAAGCGAUAAGUAACCCACCUGGGGAGUACGACCGCAAGGUUGAAACUCAAAGGAAUUGACGGGGGCCCGCACAAGCGGUGGAGCAUGUGGUUUAAUUCGAUGGUACGCGAGGAACCUUACCUGGGCUAGAAUGCGCGUGACCGGACCUGAAAGGGUUCAUCUCUUCGGAGCACAAAGCAAGGUGCUGCAUGGCUGUCGU
Molecule: ribosomal RNA, 258 nt
Filed under: uncultured bacterium
Lineage: Bacteria
Description: partial 16S ribosomal RNA
Rfam family: Bacterial small subunit ribosomal RNA
Source: RNAcentral